Chiloscyllium plagiosum (whitespotted bambooshark) is the source of this 356-nucleotide non-coding RNA. NCBI's taxonomy places the organism in Eukaryota, Metazoa, Chordata, Chondrichthyes, Orectolobiformes, Hemiscylliidae. The record is from RefSeq and is a predicted model, not a curated record.
UCCCCAAGGUAGAGGAGACCACAUCGAGAACAACGGACACAGUAGAUACCAUGUAUGGACGGUGCAGGAAAUACUCUGUUGGAUGUGGAAGGAUCCUUUGGCGCCUGAGAUGAGGAGUAGGUCAUCUACAUAUUGGAUAAGGCAGUCAAGCCGGGAAAACGUCUCACAUCCGUUUGCUAACCGUCUAUGAAAAAUUGAGGGACUAAAAGAAGAUAGGGUUAGAGGUCUUAAAAACAUUGGAAGAUCUGGUGUUUUGGAAAAAAUAACAACUGGCAAGAUUGACAGAAUACCUGGAAAGAUUUGAUGACAGAUUCUGCUUCUUAUUACCUAAAAGUGAUGGUUAAUAGUUCAUAACA